Alexandromys fortis (reed vole) is the source of this 706-nucleotide long non-coding RNA. RefSeq lists it as uncharacterized. The record is from RefSeq and is a predicted model, not a curated record. NCBI's taxonomy places the organism in Eukaryota, Metazoa, Chordata, Mammalia, Rodentia, Cricetidae. The transcript has 3 exons.
GCCCUGUCUAAGAGGUGAAGAAGUUCUGGAGGACAUCGGAGCCCUGGGCCCAGUGCUCAUAUCGCCUUAAUCAUAUCUUGAAGCCUUAAUUUUCUCAUCUGUGAAAUGGAACAGGAGAAGGUUCUCCAGCCAGGAAAUGACCACAGGGCCUCUCAAUCAAGAGCUUACCUAUAUGACUAGUCUCACUAGCCAGAUUGCUGUAUCUGAAUAUUCUCCAUCUCCAGCUUCUGAAACUAGAAUUCCAGGAGGAUCACCAUACCCACCCAACAUGCUUGGGUUCUGAGAAUCCUAACUCAUAUUUUUAUGCUUAGGAGUACUUUAGGCACCGAGUCAUCUCCCCAUACAAGAUCAAGUUCUACUUGGUUGUUUGGCAGAUGAACAUCUGACAUUUGGAAAUCACUUAACCAAGUCUACAUACAUAGAAAAUCGUGGGUCUUGGUUAUCAUGGAUUGCAGUCCUAUACCUUAUAAUUUCUUUUUAAAGAAAGAAUAGAAACAGACAGAGUAAGACUGUUAUCCUAAAUAUAAUAACAGUGAGUAUGAGAUCCUGUAUUUGGUCACCAUUCAAUAACCACAAUACAGAACCAGUAAACAGUUCUUUUUAUUGUACAAAUGAUAUAUUAACUCUUUUAGUAGUAAUUUAUUUACUUUUAGGUUUUUAAUUUACAAAUUACAAUUAUAUAUGUAAAGAGCACAAUGCAAUGUUU